RNAcentral lists this ribosomal RNA (546 nucleotides) under uncultured alveolate. RNAcentral describes it as "SSU rRNA". It matches the Rfam family "Eukaryotic small subunit ribosomal RNA", at positions 598 to 1149 of the family's 1831-position model. The record is from RNAcentral.
CGUAUAUUAAAGUUGUUGCGGUUAAAGAGCUCGUAGUUGGAUUUCUGUUGAGGACGGCCGGUCCGCACUAUGUGCGUGUAUCUGGUUCGGCCUCGGCAUCCUCUUGAGGAACGUUUCUGCGCUUGAUUGCGUGGAGCGGUAUUCAAGACUUUUACUUUGAGGAAAUUAGAGUGUUCACGGCAGGCAAGCGCCUUGAAUAUGUUAGCAUGGAAUAAUAAUAUAGGAUCUUGGUUCUAUUUGUUGGUUUCUAGGGCUAAGGUAAUGAUUAAUAGGGAUAAUUGGGGGCAUUUGUAUUAACGCGUCAGAGGUGGAAUUCUUGGAUUGCGUUACGACAAACUACUGCGAAAGCAUUUGCCAAGGAUGUUUUCAUUGAUCAAGAACGAAAGUAUGGGGAUCGAAGAUGAUUAGAUACCGUCGUAGUCUAUACCAUAAACUAUGCCGACUAGGGAUUGGAGGUCGUUCUUUUUAUGACUCCUUCAGCACCUUAUGAGAAAUCAAAGUCUUUGGGUUCCGGGGGGAGUAUAGUCGCAAGGCUGAAACUUAAAG